AGGCACUGUACGUACUGGGGAAAAGUAUUACAUACUUGUCAUUCGUAGGCAACAGACUUAGGGUGCUUAUAAACUGGGAGGUGCAAUUUACUUUCUGUUACAUAUUCUCCAAUACAUUUUUCCUUAUAAAACAAUUUUAUCUUUCUGUAUACAGUAGGGUAGGUUGUUGGAAUUUUAUUUUUGUAAAAGAUCAUACAGUGUUUGUCUAUUUAUUAUUUAUUUAUUUAUUUAGAGGAGGAGAAAGAGUGUGUGAGCAUGGGGUGAGGGGACAGAGGGAAAGAGAGAACCUCAAAUAGGCUCCAUGUCCAGCACAGAGCCCCACAAGGUGUUCAAUCUCACCAUCCUGAGAUCAUGACCUGAGCUGAAAUCAAGAGUCCGACAGUUAACUAACUGAGCCACCCAAGCACCCCAAUGUUUGUCUAUUUAAAAUGUGUAUCAUCAGAAUCAGAAUCAUACCAAGAACAGUGGUAAUAUCUGGAUAGUUAGAAAGUACAGAAGACUAGAGAAAACUGACUUUUUAAAAAGGCUUUUACUUUUUUUUUUUUUUUUAAAGACAAUCAUGAAGGGCCUGAAACAGAGAUGGAUGGUGAAGCCGAAAAUAGAGCAGCAGGAGUUGAGAGCACAGCUGAGCUGGCAGAUAGCAGAGCUGUGCCAGUCGUUCAUGUUGGCAGCUUUCUUCAAAUAUCCAAUGAUAUUUGGUUGCCUGUACUCAUUUAAGAGUUUGAUGCCAAGGGCUCCUUGAUGGCUCAAGUCAGUUAAGCAUCGGCCUUCGGCUCAGGUCAUGAUCCCAGGUUCCUGGGAUGGAGACCCGUCUUGGGGUCCCCACUCAGCGGGGAGUCUGCUUCUCCCUCUCCCUCUGCCUGCUGCUUCCCUUGCUUGUGCUUUCUCUCUCUGUGUCAAAUAAAUAAAUAAAUAAAAUAUUUUUUU
This 927-nucleotide long non-coding RNA is filed under the name Ursus thibetanus thibetanus. RNAcentral describes it as "lncRNA (ENSUTTG00000018361.1)". The record is from RNAcentral. Lineage: Eukaryota; Metazoa; Chordata; Mammalia; Carnivora; Ursidae.